This 273-nucleotide ribosomal RNA is filed under the name uncultured bacterium. Its description in RNAcentral is "partial 16S ribosomal RNA". It matches the Rfam family "Bacterial small subunit ribosomal RNA", at positions 30 to 326 of the family's 1533-position model. The record is from RNAcentral.
CGAACGCUGGCGGCAGGCUUAACACAUGCAAGUCGAACGGACGUAGCAAUACGUCAGUGGCAGACGGGUGAGUAACGCGUGGGAACGUACCUUUUGGUUCGGAACAACCCAGGGAAACUUGGGCUAAUACCGGAUAAGCCCUUACGGGGAAAGAUUUAUCGACCGAAAGAUCCGGCCCGCGUCUGAUUAGCUAGUUGGUGAGGUAACGGCUCACCGAAGGCGACGAUCAGUAGCUGGUCUGAGAGGAUGAUCAGCCACAUUGGGACUGAGACA